AGUCGUAACAAGGUCUCCGACGGUGAACCUGCGGAGGGAUCAUUCAAGUGACCCCCGGUCUUACCACCGGGGAUGUUCAUAACCCCUUUGUUGUCCGACUCUGUUGCCCUCCCGGGGGCGACCCUGCCCUUCGGGCGGGGGCUCCGGGUGGACACUUCAAACUCUUGCGUAACUUUGCAGUCUGGUAACUUAAUUAAUAAUUAAA
RNAcentral lists this unclassified non-coding RNA (205 nucleotides) under plant metagenome. Its description in RNAcentral is "partial contains small subunit ribosomal RNA and internal transcribed spacer 1". The record is from RNAcentral.